GGCCCUGUAGCUCAGUUGGUUAGAGCGCGUGCUUCACAUGAAGCCUAGAUCGCACGAGGCCCCUGGUUCGAGCCCAGGCAGAGUCA
Non-coding RNA from Melampsora americana, 86 nucleotides. NCBI's taxonomy places the organism in Eukaryota, Fungi, Basidiomycota, Pucciniomycetes, Pucciniales, Melampsoraceae. The record is from the annotation of a GenBank genome assembly.